CCUACGGGGGGCAGCAGUGGGGAAUAUUGGACAAUGGGCGAAAGCCUGAUCCAGCCAUGCCGCGUGUGUGAAGAAGGCCUUCGGGUUGUAAAGCACUUUCAGUGGGGAAGAAAGCCUUGGGGCUAAUACCCUCGAGGAAGGACAUCACCACAGAAGAAGCACCGGCUAACUCCGUGCCAGCAGCCGCGGUAAUACGGAGGGUGCGAGCGUUAAUCGGAAUUACUGGGCGUAAAGCGCGCGUAGGCGGUCUGAUAAGCCGGUUGUGAAAGCCCCGGGCUCAACCUGGGAACGGCAUCCGGAACUGUCAGGCUAGAGUGCAGGAGAGGAAGGUAGAAUUCCCGGUGUAGCAGUGAAAUGCGUAGAGAUCGGGAGGAAUACCAGUGGCGAAGGCGGCCUUCUGGACUGACACUGACGCUGAGGUGCGAAAGCGUGGGUAGCAAACAGGAUUAGAUACCCGGGUAGUC
Molecule: ribosomal RNA, 464 nt
Filed under: Vreelandella stevensii
Lineage: Bacteria; Pseudomonadati; Pseudomonadota; Gammaproteobacteria; Oceanospirillales; Halomonadaceae
Description: partial 16S ribosomal RNA
Rfam family: Bacterial small subunit ribosomal RNA
Source: RNAcentral